CCCUUAGAUGUUCGGGGCCGCACGCGCGCUACACUGAUGUGUCCAGUAAGCACCUAACCUCUUCCGAAAGGAACGGGUAACCUUUGCAAAGCACAUCGUGAUGGGGAUAGAUUAUUGCAAUUAUUAGUCUUGAACGAGGAAUUCCUAGUAAGCACAAGUCAUCAGCUUGUGUUGAUUACGUCCCUGCCCUUUGUACACACCGCCCGUCGCUCCUACCGAUUGAAUGUUCCGGUGAGCUCUUCGGACUGCGCGGUCUGCAGUUUCUGCGUUCCGUGCGGAAAGUUGCGCAAACCUUAACAUUUAGAGGAAGGAGAAGUCGUAACA
RNAcentral lists this ribosomal RNA (324 nucleotides) under uncultured eukaryote. RNAcentral's name for it is "partial 18S ribosomal RNA". It matches the Rfam family "Eukaryotic small subunit ribosomal RNA", at positions 1470 to 1796 of the family's 1831-position model. The record is from RNAcentral.